Molecule: unclassified non-coding RNA, 345 nt
Filed under: soil metagenome
Description: partial contains 5.8S ribosomal RNA, internal transcribed spacer 2, and large subunit ribosomal RNA
Rfam family: 5.8S ribosomal RNA (bases 1-120)
Source: RNAcentral
GAUGAAGAACGUAGCGAAAUGCGAUACGUAAUGUGAAUUGCAGAAUUCAGUGAAUCAUCGAGUCUUUGAACGCACAUUGCGCCCUCUGGUAUUCCGGGGGGCAUGCCUGUCCGAGCGUCAUUGCUGCCCUCAAGCACGGCUUGUGUGUUGGGCCUCCGUCCUCCUCCCGGGGGACGGGCCCGAAAGGCAGCGGCGGCACCGCGUCCGGUCCUCGAGCGUAUGGGGCUUCGUCACCCGCUCUUGUAGGCCCGGCCGGCGCUUGCCGACACAUCAAUCUUUUUUCCAGGUUGACCUCGGAUCAGGUAGGGAUACCCGCUGAACUUAAGCAUAUCAAUAAGCGGAGGA